Molecule: ribosomal RNA, 371 nt
Filed under: uncultured organism
Description: bacterial SSU rRNA
Rfam family: Bacterial small subunit ribosomal RNA
Source: RNAcentral
CGUAGGGUGCGAGCGUUAAUCGGAAUUACUGGGCGUAAAGCGUGCGCAGGCGGUUAUGUAAGACAGAUGUGAAAUCCCCGGGCUCAACCUGGGAACUGCAUUUGUGACUGCAUGGCUAGAGUACGGUAGAGGGGGAUGGAAUUCCGCGUGUAGCAGUGAAAUGCGUAGAUAUGCGGAGGAACACCGAUGGCGAAGGCAAUCCCCUGGACCUGUACUGACGCUCAUGCACGAAAGCGUGGGGGAGCAAACAGGAUUAGAUACCCUGGUAGUCCACGCCCUAAACGAUGUCAACUGGUUGUUGGGAAUUAGUUUUCUCAGUAACGAAGCUAACGCGUGAAGUUGACCGCCUGGGGAGUACGGCCGCAAGGUUG